UAAAACCUCGUGACACCUUCCAUAGAGUCAAACGACAACAUGGAGUCUGAUCAAUCUGCGACACCUUCCUCAAGAGACGGUUCGACGAAUAACAUUCAUCUUGGCCUUACGGACCCGAAAACCACAGCACCUACCCCAAUUGGCAAGAUAAAGACAUUUGCUCGCCUUGAUCGAAAAGAACGGUUCUUUCUGCUUGUGUCGACUAUCAACAUCUUGGUGGCGGUUGGACUGACCAUCUACAGUCUGGUAGUGGUCCUCAAAACUGACCCGGAGUCAUCAGAUUUCACCUUCACUAUACUUCUACUUAUCAAUGCUGGUUUCUGCAUCUUCUACGUCGUCCAUGGUUUGUUUCGUGAGCGUGUCUACGAGAUAUACGCACUGAUGGCGGCCAUGUUUGUUGUCACCAUGUACUGUGUGUUGGAGUUUGGUGUUAAUGAAGAAGGGAGAACAACCAUCAAACUGGUCCGUAUGAUCUUAGCAAUCGUCUUCACCCCGCCAAACUAUGCACUGGGCUACUUUGUUGCAAAGGCUUUUGGAUAUGUGAGGUUUGAAACAGUUGCAGCUUCAGCACACCUAAAUCAGCUCUACAGACAGGCAGACAUAUUUUCCUGUCUUUUAAAGUUUGACUGUCAGGCGUCGAUAUCCUUUAUGAUCCUGGUAUUGAAGAAUGGUACCGACAUCACGGUGCUGGAACAGGUCAAUCUGGGCCUGGGGAUACCAUACACACUGGUGUGGUCAGUACUUGGCUGGUUUGUGCUUCGCAGAGAACUGAAGAGGUGGACCUGGGUGCUUGCUGGGGCCGGUGUUGCCAAGCCUGCUUACUACGUGUAUAAACUUAUUAAAAUGUACGCACACUUGACGGAUGACACUGAUUCUUACAGCAUCACCAUCGUGUGGUCCCGCCUUGCUGCAGGAGCUAUUGCCCUGAUUUCCUGGUUCAUCCUGAUAGCUCAUCUCGACAUUGUACAACGAAACUUUGGAAAAGGACUCAAAGAAAAGAUAUCAAAAAAAUGAUGAUUCAGAACGUCUACAUGUACUUGUUGACAGGACGAAGGUCAAGUUGGCAAUGAUUCAAGUUUAACAAAUUCCACGAAUCCAGUUCCCAUGGCAAUAUAUUACAAGCUUUAUAAAAACAAGCAGGUGUGUGAUGUAGAUGAUGGUGCCCAUGUUGCAAGUGGCCGCUACUUAGUUUGCAAGCCUCCUGCUAUCCUGUUAUUUUAUUAUUGUGUAAGAAUGAUCUUGAAAUAUAUCGUUUCAUAAAUACUGUCGUGAUAUGCUACGUGUCUGUGAAUUUCAUUUGUGACCAACCAUGCGAUAAGGGACCUUAUGGGUGAAAAAACUCAUUUGGACUUUUCUUUUAAAACUAUAGCAUUUUCUGAAGACAAGUGUACAAUUCACACGCUUCAAUUAAUAUAUAUUACAGAGAUACAUGACAUCACACAUGGCGAUCUUCACUGAAGUAAGUUGACGUCAAACGUCUCAUGACAUCAUAUUAAUGUAGCACAAUUGUAUCCAAGCACCCCUAAGGUCCCAUAUCUCCUGCAGUGUCACAUUUUAUAAUCUUGUUUGUUCAUGUUUCUUAAGCUAUGUACAAUUACUGUGUUUUGCUUGAUCGACAUGCGGUUAUUCAUUUAUGUUUUGUGUACAAUGUUAAAGAUUUCGCAAAAGAACUUUUGUCAUUCCUGUUUUUUCUGAUACAUUUUAACAACCAUACAUGUACAAAAUAACAAUGUUCUGCAGAUACUAUUUUAAUAUAUGUCAUCAAAUGUUGUUUUAUGAAUACGAGAAUGUCCAAAUAUGUAACUGUUUCUUAGUUUCCGUGGCUUUCAUUGAGUAUCAAAGUAUUGAUACUUCAUGAAGCAACACGAUCCAACCACUCAGAUAUCACUAUUAUGUAUCGAAACCCUGUGAAGAUCUGGGUCAGAAUUGAUCUUCAGCAGCCGCUGUCUGUCCCCUGUGAAGAUCUGGGAAAGAAUUGGUAUUCAUAACCCAUGCUUGUAAAAGGCGACCAACAGGAUCGGGUGGUCAGGCUCGCUGAUACUGUUGAAGCUUGUCAGGGUAUCUCAAUUGUGUAGAUCGAUGUUCAAGAUGUAAGUCACUUGAUUGUUUGGUACAGACUCGAUUAUCUACAGACCGCCGUCAUACGUCUGGCAUAUUUCUGUAGUGUGGUGUAGAACAACAAAGAAACAAACAUGUCUUGAAACUAAACUAUUGAAUUGCUUUCAUUUAAAUACUACCUUUUUGUCAACAUGGGUACUAUGCUAACUAAGAAUUAAAAAGAGCCUGGAUCAAUAGAUAAUCCUUUUAACCAGAAACAACAUUCACAAAACUUAUGACAUGUUGUCUGGAAUACCUGUCUCAUGACAAUCAGUGUAAGGGCAAUGAGACUCAAUAAGAUGAUGUAGGUAGUAGAUGAUGUAGUCAGUAGAUGGUGUAGGUAGUAGAUGAUGAAGGCAGUAGAUGAUGCGCUAAGCUGCUCAAUAAUCAGGUAUUGUAACCAUAAUCCACUACCAACGACCCCUGAUUGGGAUCGAUAAGUCCAUGAACGUCAUGUGUGUUGGCAUAGCUAGUACAUAGCAUACUAGACGAAUCUGUGUUAGGAUGGCAGGUAUAUAGCAUACUAGAAGAGUCUGUAUAGCUAGUACAUAGCAUACUAGAAGAAUCUGUGUUGGUAUGGCAGGUAUAUAGCAUGCUGGAAGAAUCUGUGUUAGGAUGGCAGGUAUAUGGCAUAAUAGAAGAGUCUGUAUUGGCAUAGCUAGUACAUAGCAUACUAGAAGAAUCUGUGUUGGCAUGGCAGGUAUAUAGCAUGCUGGAAGAAUCUGUGUUAGGAUGGCAGGUAUAUAGCAUACUAGAAGAGUCUGUAUUGGCAUGGCAGGUAUAUAGCAUAAUAGAAGAAUAUGUGUUGGCAUGGCAGGUAUAUAGCAUACUAGAAGAGUCUGUGUUAGGAUGACAGGUAUAUAGCAUACUAGAAGAGUCUGUGUUAGGAUGGCAGGUAUAUGGCAUACUAGAAGAGUCUGUAUUGGCAUGGCAGGUAUAUAGCAUACUUGAAGAGUCUGUAUUGGCAUGGCAGGUAUAUAGCAUACUAGAAGAGUCUAUGUUGUAUGACAGGUAUAUCGCAUACUAGAAGAGUCUGUAUUGGCAUGGCAGGUAUAUAGCAUACUAGAAGAGUCUAUGUUGUAUGACAGGUAUAUCGCAUACUAGAAGAGUCUGUAUUGGCAUGGCAGGUAUAUAGCAUACUAGAAGAGUCUAUGUUGUAUGACAGGUAUAUCGCAUGCUAAAAGAGUCUGUAUUGGCAUGGCAGGUAUAUAGCAUACUAGAAGAAUCUGUGUUAGGAUGACAGGUAUAUAGCAUACUAGAAGAAUAUGUGUUGGCAUGGCAGGUAUAUAGCAUACUAGAACAAUCUGUGUUAGGAUGACAGGUAUAUAGCAUACUAGAAGAGUCUGUAUUGGCAUGGCAGGUAUAUAGCAUACUUGAAGAGUCUGUGUUAGGAUGACAGGUAUAUGGCAUACUAGAAGAGUCUGUAUUGGCAUUGCAGGUAUAUAGCAUACUAGAAGAAUCUGUGUUAGGAUGACAGGUAUAUGGCAUACUAGAAGAGUCUGUAUUGGCAUGGCAGGUAUAUAGCAUACUUGAAGAGUCUGUAUUGGCAUGGCAGGUAUAUAGCAUACUAGAAGAGUCUAUGUUGUAUGACAGGUAUAUCGCAUACUAGAAGAGUCUGUAUUGGCAUGGCAGGUAUAUAGCAUACUAGAAGAGUCUAUGUUGUAUGACAGGUAUAUCGCAUACUAGAAGAGUCUGUAUUGGCAUGGCAGGUAUAUAGCAUACUAGAAGAGUCUAUGUUGUAUGACAGGUAUAUCGCAUACUAGAAGAGUCUGUAUUGGCAUGGCAGGUAUAUAGCAUACUAGAAGAGUCUAUGUUGUAUGACAGGUAUAUCGCAUACUAGAAGAGUCUGUAUUGGCAUGGCAGGUAUAUAGCAUACUAGAAGAGUCUAUGUUGUAUGACAGGUAUAUCGCAUACUAGAAGAGUCUGUAUUGGCAUGGCAGGUAUAUAGCAUACUAGAAGAGUCUAUGUUAGGAUGACAGGUAUAUAGCAUACUAGAAGAAUAUGUGUUGGCAUGGCAGGUAUAUAGCAUACUAGAAGAAUCUGUGUUAGGAUGACAGGUAUAUAGCAUACUAGAAGAGUCUGUGUUAGGAUGGCAGGUAUAUAGCAUACUAGAAGAGUCCAUGUUGGCAUGGCAGGUAUAUAGCAUACUAGAAGCGUCUGUGUUAGGAUCACAGGUAUAUAGCAUACUAGAAGAGUCUGUAUUGGCAUGGCAGGUAUAUAGCAUACUAGAAGAGUCUGUGUUAGGAUGGCAGGUAUUAGCAUACUAGAAGAGUCUGUAUUGGCAUUGCAGGCAUAUAGCAUGCUGGAAGAGUCUGUGUUAGGAUGGCAGGUAUAUAGCAUACUAGAAGAGUCUGUAUUGACAUUGCAGGUAUAUAGCAUACUAGAAGAGUCUGUGUUAGGAUGGCAGGUAUAUGGCAUACUAGAAGAGUCUGUAUUGGCAUUGCAGGUAUAUAGCAUACUAGAAGAGUCUGUGUUAGGAUGGCAGGUAUAUGGCAUACUAGAAGAGUCUGUAUUGGCAUUGCAGGUAUAUAGCAUACUAGAAGAGUCUGUGUUAGGAUGGCAGGUAUAUGGCAUACUAGAAGAGUCUGUAUUGGCAUGGCAGGUAUAUAGCAUACUAGAAGAAUCUGUGUUAGGAUGACAGGUAUAUAGCAUACUAGAAGAGUCUGUGUUAGGAUGGCAGGUAUAAAGCAUACCAGAAGAGUCCAUGUUGGCUUGGCAGGUAUAUAGCAUACUAGAAGAAUCUGUGUUAGGAUGACAGGUAUAUAGCAUACUAGAAGAGUCUGUGUUAGGAUGGCAGGUAUAUAGCAUACUAGAAGAGUCCAUGUUGGCAUGGCAGGUAUAUAGCAUACUAGAAGAAUCUGUGUUAGGAUGGCAGGUAUAUAGCAUACUAGAAGCGUCUGUGUUAGGAUCACAGGUAUAUAGCAUACUAGAAGAGUCUGUGUUAGGAUGGCAGGUAUAUGGCAUACUAGAAGAGUCUGUAUUGGCAUUGCAGGUAUAUAGCAUGCUGGAAGAGUCUGUAUUGGCAUGGCAGGUAUAUAGCAUACUAGAAGAGUCUGUGUUAGGAUGGCAGGUAUAUGGCAUACUAGAAGAGUCUGUAUUGGCAUUGCAGGUAUAUAGCAUGCCGGAAGAGUCUGCGUUGGCAUGACAGGUAUAUAGCAUAGCGUAUCCCCCUUUAAGGGUCUUGUGUCGUGCUGUGUAAAUAUGAAACAACAUACAUCAACAUAUUUCAGUAUGGUGAUAAAUGUCAAAAGUUUAUUUCAAACAUUCAACAGUGUUUAUCUGGCAAGAUAUGACAUCUUUUAAUAAUUCACAAAAUGGUUUUGUAAUGUUAAUUUGUAUAGAAUUAUGUAUAUUGUAUUUUUCAAAGUGUGUGUGUACAUGUAUUAGUUAAAGCUAGAACUUCAAAAUGGUGCGUUGUCAAGUCAUGAAACUAAACAAGACAUGUUAAAGCAAAGGUAUCAAUUAAAUGCUGUCAAUGUCCAUCUGGGGAUGCUUGCCUUCACUGGAAUGGAAAAGUUUUAUCAACAAUGUUGUGAAUGUCAUUGUUGCAAAAUGAAUUGUAAUUGCUUGUGCAAAAUUUCAAUUAUGAUAGGUUUCUAUUAUGAAAUAAAGUAUUACUUUUAAA
RNAcentral lists this unclassified non-coding RNA (5722 nucleotides) under Haliotis rufescens (red abalone). RNAcentral's name for it is "uncharacterized LOC124133130, transcript variant X1". Lineage: Eukaryota; Metazoa; Mollusca; Gastropoda; Lepetellida; Haliotidae. The record is from RNAcentral.